Plectropomus leopardus (leopard coralgrouper) is the source of this 258-nucleotide non-coding RNA. The record is from RefSeq and is a predicted model, not a curated record. NCBI's taxonomy places the organism in Eukaryota, Metazoa, Chordata, Actinopteri, Perciformes, Serranidae.
AGCCUGGGUGCCUAAAAAGAGGGUGGACCCCAUCAUGGAAAAUGUGACUCUGGAGCCGGAGCUAGAAGAAGCCCUGGCGAGCGCUACUGAUGCUGAACUCUGUGACAUCGCAGAUCUUCUCCAUUUCCUCUAGCGCUCCUUCCAUCUUCCCUCCACCUUUCCCCUUCAUCCCUCCAUCAGUCCCUCCAUCUCCUCCAUCCCUGCUGGAUAACUCUGUUCGCUAACUCAACACCAUCCAGGGUAUCUGUAGACUGCACA